This 27-nucleotide ribosomal RNA is filed under the name Guaiacum officinale. RNAcentral's name for it is "partial 25S ribosomal RNA". The record is from RNAcentral. Lineage: Eukaryota; Viridiplantae; Streptophyta; Magnoliopsida; Zygophyllales; Zygophyllaceae.
CGACCCCAGGUCAGGGGGGACUACCAA